This 463-nucleotide ribosomal RNA is filed under the name uncultured bacterium. RNAcentral's name for it is "bacterial SSU rRNA". It matches the Rfam family "Bacterial small subunit ribosomal RNA", at positions 33 to 507 of the family's 1533-position model. The record is from RNAcentral.
ACGCUGGCGGCGUGCUUAACACAUGCAAGUCGAACGAUGAAGCUGGAGCUUGCUCCGGUGGAUUAGUGGCGAACGGGUGAGUAACACGUGAGAAAUCUGCCCUUGACUCUGGGAUAACUGCGGGAAACUGUAGCUAAUACCGGAUACUUUCCUCGGUGGGCAUCCACUGGGGAAGAAAGAAUUUCGGUCAAGGAUGAUCUCGCGGCCUAUCAGCUAGUUGGUGAGGUAAUGGCUCACCAAGGCGACGACGGGUAGCCGGCCUGAGAGGGUGACCGGCCACACUGGAACUGAGACACGGUCCAGACUCCUACGGGAGGCAGCAGUGGGGAAUAUUGCACAAUGGGCGCAAGCCUGAUGCAGCAACGCCGCGUGAGGGAUGAAGGCCUUCGGGUUGUAAACCUCUUUUAGCAGGGAAGAAGCGAAAGUGACGGUACCUGCAGAAAAAGCACCGGCUAACUACGUG